This 547-nucleotide long non-coding RNA is filed under the name Homo sapiens (human). RNAcentral's name for it is "non-protein coding lnc-TSPY2-4:1". Lineage: Eukaryota; Metazoa; Chordata; Mammalia; Primates; Hominidae. The record is from RNAcentral.
GGGAUGGGCUGGGCUGCACAGACCGGGGUCUGCGGGAGUACCCAGGAGGGCACAGUGUUCAGGCGGGAGGCUCUGCUGGAGAGGACGGCCCGGGUACAGAGCAAGGAGGCGGCCUUGAAAGAGGAGGCGGUGCUGAUGGUGGAAGACAUAAUGGCUGAGAAGGAGGUGGUGGUUAAGGAGGAGACCAAUGUGUAGUGGCAGAAGGAGGACCAGCGGGCACAGCCUGGCCCUGGACCCAGCAGAACCGGGCCGUGAAUGGACUCUCUGGAGGUCCUUCACUUGCAGCUGGGCUGUGAAUGGGCCAGGCCACAGGGCGUCUCCGGCUUCUGGAUUGCUUGGCAAGCCCAGAUGUCGGCCUAGGUCAGAAACCAUGAUGAAGUCCUGCUUUGCUACAUGAUGGAUUUGCAGACAGGUGGAGGAACUCAGUCAUCCUGGUUACCGGCGGCUGGAUGAAAUUUCCUUUCAUCACAACCUUUACUUCCACAAUGAAGUUAUCAUUAAGGAAUACUUCUUUGGCAUCCUGGGGUACAGGGUGUCUCAUUCCACU